RNAcentral lists this ribosomal RNA (1326 nucleotides) under uncultured bacterium. Its description in RNAcentral is "bacterial SSU rRNA". It matches the Rfam family "Bacterial small subunit ribosomal RNA", at positions 46 to 1401 of the family's 1533-position model. The record is from RNAcentral.
GCUUAAUACAUGCAAGUCGAACGAGUAGCAAUACUAGUGGCGCACGGGAGAGUAAUACAUGGAUAAUCUGCCCUCGAGUGGGGGAUAACUUGCCGAAAGGCGAGCUAAUACCGCAUAAGACCACAGGAUCUGCGGAUCUAGGGGUUAAAGGUUUUUCGCUCGAGGAUGAGUCCAUGCUCGAUUAGCUAGUUGGUAGGGUAAUGGCCUACCAAGGCUACGAUCGAUAGCUGAUCUGAGAGGAUGAUCAGCCUCACUGGAACUGAGACACGGUCCAGACUCCUACGGGAGGCAGCAGUAGGGAAUAUUGCACAAUGGGGGAAACCCUGAUGCAGCGACGCCGCGUGAGCGAUGAAGGCCUUCGGGUUGUAAAGCUCUGUUGUACGGGAAGAACACAAUGACGGUACCGUAUAAGAAAGGACCGGCUAACUUCGUGCCAGCAGCCGCGGUAAGACGAGGGGUCCUAGCGUUGUUCGGAAUCACUGGGCGUAAAGCGUAUGUAGGCGGCUUGAUAAGUCGGGUGUGAAAUCCCAUGGCUCAACCAUGGAACUGCACUCGAAACUGUUGAGCUUGAGUAUUGGAGGGGAUGACAGAAUUCCUGGUGUAGUGGUGAAAUACGUAGAUAUCAGGAGGAACACCGGUGGCGAAGGCGGUUAUCUGGCCAUAUACUGACGCUGAGAUACGAAAGUGCGGGGAUCAAACAGGAUUAGAUACCCUGGUAGUCCGCACCGUAAACGAUGGACACUUGGUGUUGGAGGUAUUGACCCCUUCAGUGCCGAAGCUAACGCGUUAAGUGUCCCGCCUGGGAAGUACGGUCGCAAGAUUAAAACUCAAAGAAAUUGACGGGGGCCCGCACAAGCGGUGGAGCAUGUGGUUUAAUUCGAUGCAACGCGAAAAACCUUACCUGGGCUCGAAAUGUUAUGGAAUACGAUAGAGAUAUCGUAGUUCUUCGGAACUGUAAUAUAGGUGCUGCAUGGCUGUCGUCAGCUCGUGUCGUGAGAUGUCGGGUUAAGUCCCAUAACGAGCGCAACCCCUGUCUUUAGUUGCCAGCAUUCAGUUGGGCACUCUAAAGAGACUGCCGACGUUAAGUCGGAGGAAGGUGGGGAUGACGUCAAGUCCUCAUGGCCUUUAUGUCCAGGGCUACACACGUGCUACAAUGGUCGGUACAAAGGGCUGCUACACAGCGAUGUGAUGCUAAUCUCUAAAAACCGAUCUCAGUUCGGAUUGAAGUCUGCAACUCGACUUCAUGAAGCUGGAUUCGCUAGUAAUCGCGCAUCAGCAAUGGCGCGGUGAAUACGUUCCCGGGCCUUGCACACACCGCCCGUCACA